This 1077-nucleotide ribosomal RNA is filed under the name Paenibacillus sp. Tir3A. RNAcentral describes it as "bacterial SSU rRNA". It matches the Rfam family "Bacterial small subunit ribosomal RNA", at positions 1 to 1376 of the family's 1533-position model. The record is from RNAcentral. Lineage: Bacteria; Bacillati; Bacillota; Bacilli; Caryophanales; Paenibacillaceae.
UCCGGGAGCGCGCAGACCCAGUAGGGUAAUGUUCACGCCAAUGGGAACUAAAUUGUCUCAAUCGGGACCCACCACCCGAUAGGAGGAAGAAAGGUCUUUCGGAUAUGUAAAGCUUUUGUGCCAGGAAAGAUCGUUCUUGGGAGAGUGAAGCUCUUAUGAGAGGGACCGGUUACCUGAGAAAGAAAGCGCCAGGCUUACUACCGUGCCGACAAGCGACGGUAAUGGGUAGGAGGGCAAACUGUGUUCCGGAAUUAUUGGGACGUAAAUGCGCGCCCAGGCGUUCAUUUAAGUCUGAUAUUAAUGCCGGGGCUCAGCUCCGGGUGGCACUGAAACUGGGUAGCUUGAGUGCAGAAGAGGAGAGUGGAAUUGCACGUGUAGCGGUGAAAUAGGUAGAGAUGUGGAGGAACACCAGGGCGAAGGCGACUCUCUGGGCUGUAACUGACGCUGAGGCGAGAAAGCGGGGGGUAGCAAACAGGAUUAGAUAGCUAGGUAGUCCACUCCGUAAACGAUGAAUGCUAGGUGUUAGGGGUUUCGAUAUCCUUGGUGCCGAAGUAAACACAUUAAGCAUUCCGCCUGAGGAGUACGGUAACAAGACUGAAACUCAAAGGAAUUGACGGGGAGCCGCACAAGCAGUGGAGUAUGUGGUUUAAUUCGAAGCAACGCGAAGAACCUUACCAGGUCUUGUCAUCCCUCUGACCGGUACAGAGAUAGGCCUUUUCUUCGGAACAGAGGACACAGGUGGUGCAUGGUUGUCGUCAGCUCGUGUCGUGAGAUGUUGGGUUAAGUCCCGCAACGAGCGCAACCCUUGAUCUUAGUUGCCAGCAUUUCGGAUGGGCACUCUAAGGUGACCGGCGGUGACAAACCGGAGGAAGGUGGGGAUGACGUCAAAUCAUCAUGCCCCUUAUGACCUGGGCUACACACGUACUACAAUGGCCAGUACAACGGGAAGCGAAGCCGCGAGGUGGAGCGAAUCCAAUCAAAGCUGGUCUCAGUUCGGAGUUCAGGCUGCAACUCGCCUGCAUUAAGUCGGAAUUGCUAGUAAUCGCGGAUCAGCAUGCCGCGGUGAAUACGUUCCCG